AGGGAUCAUUACCGAGUUUACAACUCCCAAACCCAUGUGAACAUACCUACUGUUGCUUCGGCGGGAUUGCCCCGGGCGCCUCGUGUGCCCCGGAUCAGGCGCCCGCCUAGGAAACUUAAUUCUUGUUUUAUUUUGGAAUCUUCUGAGUAGUUUUUACAAAUAAAUAAAAACUUUCAACAACGGAUCUCUUGGUUCUGGCAUCGAUGAAGAACGCAGCGAAAUGCGAUAAGUAAUGUGAAUUGCAGAAUUCAGUGAAUCAUCGAAUCUUUGAACGCACAUUGCGCCCGCCAGUAUUCUGGCGGGCAUGCCUGUCUGAGCGUCAUUUCAACCCUCAUGCCCCUAGGGCGUGGUGUUGGGGAUCGGCCAAAGCCCGCGAGGGACGGCCGGCCCCUAAAUCUAGUGGCGGACCCGUCGUGGCCUCCUCUGCGAAGUAGUGAUAUUCCGCAUCGGAGAGCGACGAGCCCCUGCCGUUAAACCCCCAACUUUCCAAGGUUGACCUCAGAUCAGGUAGGAAUACCCG
RNAcentral lists this ribosomal RNA (520 nucleotides) under uncultured Gibberella. RNAcentral describes it as "eukaryotic LSU rRNA". The stretch from base 169 to 322 matches the Rfam family "5.8S ribosomal RNA". The record is from RNAcentral. Lineage: Eukaryota; Fungi; Ascomycota; Sordariomycetes; Hypocreales; Nectriaceae.